UACGAAGGGGGCUAGCGUUGCUCGGAUUUACUGGGCGUAAAGGGCGCGUAGGCGGACAGUUUAGUCAGAGGUGAAAGCCCAGGGCUCAACCUUGGAAUUGCCUUUGAUACUGGCUGUCUUGAGUACGGGAGAGGUGAGUGGAACUCCGAGUGUAGAGGUGAAAUUCGUAGAUAUUCGGAAGAACACCAGUGGCGAAGGCGGCUAACUGGUCCAGUACUGACGCUGAGGUGCGAAAGCGUGGGGAGCAAACAGG
RNAcentral lists this ribosomal RNA (253 nucleotides) under uncultured bacterium. Its description in RNAcentral is "partial 16S ribosomal RNA". It matches the Rfam family "Bacterial small subunit ribosomal RNA", at positions 524 to 776 of the family's 1533-position model. The record is from RNAcentral.